UGUUUUUUUUUCUUUGUACUAAAUUUGAAUUUGAUGAUUUCCCAGAAUUAAGUUUUUUUGAGUGUCUGAUUGAUUUGUAAAUGCAAUGAAUUGAGUUUUCUUGUUCUGGUUUGUAAGGAUUAAUGUUUGGUUGGUUUAUUUAUUCAAUUUGAAUAAUACCCAGAAUGGAGUUUUGUGUAUCUAGUUUUUUUGGAAUGCGAAAAUUUUAGUUUUUUUCUUGGUGGAUUGUAGGAAUUAUUGAUUAUUGUGGUUUAAGUUUGAAUUUUUAUUACACCCAGAACUGAGUUUUGAGUUUCUGGUUGAUUUGUGAAUGCAAAGUCUUGAAUUUUCCUGUUCAGGUUGUAAGGAUUAAUGUUUGUUUUGGUUUUAUUUAUUUAUUUAUUUAUUUAUUCAAUUUGAGUAAUACCCAGAAUGGAGUUUUGUGUAUCUCGUUGUUUUGGAAUGCAAAAAUUUGAGUUUUUUCUUGGUGGGGUUGUAGGAAUUAUUGAUUAUCGUGGUUUAAGUUUGAAUUUAAAGGAUACUCAGAACUGAUUUUUGAGUUUCUGUUUGAUUUUGAUUGCAAAGAUUUUUUUUCUUUUUUUCUUUUUGGUGUUCUUGGAUAGUGUUAAAUGUUUAGUGUGUAUUUUUGUAUUGAAGGUCUCGUCUCUGUGUGAAGAAUUUGCCAAAGUAUGUAGCCGAGGACCGUCUCAGAGAAUUCUUCUCUCAGAAAGGGGAAGUCACCGACGCCAAGCUCAUGCGUACUUCGUUAAGUUUCUCUUCUCCUCUCUGCUCUACCUUUUUUUUUUUUUUUUUUAAAUAGUAAUGUGAGCUGUAGACAAACUCUGUGCCUGAGUCCAUAGUUUGUUGUACUGAUACGGGUCAAAAUGGAGGGAGCCAGCUAGAAAGCAUUCAUACAGUUAACCACAAUUAGUAAAGAACUUGUUGUUAAUGACUAAUGUACAGUAGCAUUUCAGUUUUUCAGUUUUUCAUCGGUGGUUUCAGCCAAUAAUUGAUUUUUUGACUGGUAUUCACGAAUUGCUAUUUGAUACUGUAGAGAUUUUUGGGUAUGUUCAUGAAUUUGAAAUUCAUUUGACAUCGACUGAUUGCCACUUUAAGCAGAGAUGGAAAGAGCAGGCAGUUUGGAUUUGUAGGAUUUCGAACGGAGCAAGAGGCUGAGGAAGCUAUCAAGUAUUUUGACAAGUCUUUCAUGGAUAAUAGUCGUAUUAUUUGUGAGGUAUGUUUUUUCUGCUUCAGUUACUAUGCUGUUCUGCUUGGGUGGUAUACCUAUUUAGCAGAAGACGAAAAAGCAUAUCUCUGUUCCAUAUUCCAUUAUUUUGAAAUUAGUCGAUAUAUACAUUUCAAAUUACUCCACCUGUCCUAUUUUAUGUGACAUACUUUCCUUUUUGGUUGUCCAAAAAAAAUGACAUCUUUGUAAUAAUUAGAAAUACUUUGACUUUAAUUUUUUAUUUUACUCUAUUAUAGCCUCAAAACUGGCAUGGUUUUUGUUAGACCACGAGCUCCAAAAAGAUUUCUUUCUUAAACUCCGUGUCAAGUCAAGCACCGCCAAAAUAGCUGGGACACAUAGUAUAAAAGAUGAUGCCUUUAUAAUUUUUCCAAGUAGCUAGUGAAAGUAUCCUUAUAUAAGUCCUGUUAACUUUAUUGCUUUAUUCUAAUUUACAUUGUGAAUUACUUGAAUCUUUAUUUUCAUGGGUUGUGGAUUAUUAUUUUUCUAGAGAGUAGCUAUAUAUUGGUGAUGUGCUUGAAUGAUAUGUGCGGGGGUGAGAGGUUGACUGGGGAUAGUUUCAGGAGAGGUAGAGGUAGGCUGAAGAAGUAUUAGCGGAGGUGAUUAGAGAAGAUAUGACACAGUUAAAGCUUACCGAGGAUCCGACCUUAGGUAGGAGGUUGUGGAGGAACACAACUUAGGGUAGAAGGCUAGAUAGAAGUAGAGCAUUGUCUCGCUUGUCCUCACAUAUGGUAGUCGUCGUAUUUCUCCGGUAGUUUCUUGUCCUUCAAUUUCUGUUACCAGCUACUGUCUCUUGUACUAUAAUUACCACAGUAUUUUAUUGUAGUAGCUAUUCCUUUUUCAAAAUGCUUUGCCAUGAUUUCUUCACUUUUCAUUAAUUUUUUCGAUUUGCUUUCAUAUGCUUUUUCUUGAGCCGAGGGUCUAUUGGAAACUCUCUACCUCCCAAAGUAGGGGUAAGGUCUGCAUGCACUCUAUCUUCCCUAGACCCCACUUGUGGGAUUACACUGGUUAUAUUGUUGUUUUGUUCUUGUGCUUGAAUGACACAUAAAUUCAUUUUCAUAUAGCCAGAUUGCAAGGAAAAUUGGGGAUCCAAAUAUCCCUCGUCCAUGGAGCAGGCACACUUUGAAGAAACAAGAGAAAUUGACAAAUGAGGAUGAGAAUGCAAAAGUAAACAAAAGUUCCAAGUCUGCAGGUUUAAAAGGGGACAAAAAGAAUAGUAAACAGGAGAGUAAGGAUGAGGAUCCUCAGCUUCAAGAGUUCCUUGAAGUUAUGCAGCCUCGGAGUAAGUCAAAGUUGUGGGCAAAUGAUACACUAGCAGCUCCAUCUCUUGCUCAAAGUAAAAAGGAUGGCCAUAAGCAAUCCCAGGCAAAAGAGACUAACCGGGAAAAAUUGGCUACUGAUAACUCUGAGUUAGAUGAGGUUAUUAAAAAAGAGGAAUCUCUGUCAGUUAAUGAAAAUUCUGAGAAACCUGACAGCUUCCAUAAUGAUGAAGUUAUGACCGAUACAGAUUAUUUCAAAAGUAGAGUGAGGAAAGAUUGGUCAGACUCAAAAAGUAGUGAAGACGAUGGUAGUGAUAAUGAAAGUGACACUGAAAGUGGCAAGAGCAAUGAAGAUGCAAAUACUGGUAAUAUCCUCAAACCUGAUGAUACAGAGGAAGUUUUGACUGAUGGGUUCACCAGAUCUAACAAUAAAUCGCUUGAGCCUGCUGACCCUUCAUCAAGUGUUAUGGAUGAAAAAGAAGAAGAUCUGGAGAGUGGACGAUUAUUUGUUCGUAAUCUUCCUUACACCACGACGUAAUACAUCUUUGUUCUUCUUUUUUCCUUUAUCCUUUUUUUUUCUGGGUGAUUUAGUUAACUCGAUAUGUUGACUUCAACAAACCUAAUGUAUGUUCUUGCCAAACAAAUGGUUUUAUGACUCAGGGAAGAGGAGCUGGAAGAACAUUUUAGAGCAUUUGGCAAUGUCUCACAGGUUCAUAUUGUUGUUGACAAAGAUACAAAGCGGUCCAAAGGAUUUGCAUAUGUUCUCUAUGCAUUACCAGAAUCUGCUGCUAGGUACCUGUCAAUCAGCAUCCAAAUUCUAAGCUACUGCACUUUUUACCUGCAAGAAGCACACUGAUAUCCGUGUUAUAAAUUCUGAGUCCCUUGUAUACGUAUGUAUGUGUCUAUUUUUCAUGUUCCAGUGCUUCCUUGCAUUGCUUUUUGAUUGUUUCUUCCAGGGCAUUAGCGGAGCUGGACAGUUCAAUUUUUCAAGGACGAUUACUUCAUGUCAUGCCAGCUAAGCAGAAAAUUUCUCCAGAGAAGAUAGAGUAAGUGUUGUUUUACCACGCUUUUCAAUGUUCAUAUCCAUUAGAUUGUUUGCUUAUGCAUAUAUGUCGAGAGAAGCUCUCCUUUUUCUUUUUAAUAAUGUGGGAUCUACCUUGCUAUUAUAAGAUUGGUUCAUUUAUUACUCUGUAGGACAGUUGAUAAUACCAAGCAAUUUUCAAAAACAUUUAAGCAGCAGAGACUACAGGAAAAGAAGGCAUCUGAAGCUAGUGGAAAUACACAAUCUUGGAAUACUCUUUUCAUGCGGCCAGACACCGUAUGUACACUAUCGAAUGUUAUAAUUUAGAAUAUUUUUUCUUACUAUUAUGAGGGUUGGUUCUGUCAUUUUAGAAUUUUAAUCUAUGUUUUGCUAAGACACACAUUCUUAUCCACAUUCUGCGCCACAUAAAAUAAUACAGAAAUUUAUGCAUAAACUCUACAUGGAUUAUUUAUGAGGAAAACGAUAACUAACAUCUGAACAUUGUACAAUUUAAUAUGGAUUUUUAUGUGAAGCUUAAAUUUCCUCAAUCCCAACCAAACAUGGUACAAAUUAACUUUGGGAUUUUUUCUUCCGGGGGGUGGGGGUGGGGGUGGCUUUGUACAUCAACUUUUACAGCCCCUUGAUGCUUGCUGUAAUAGACUGGGUUUAUCUUUUUUUACAUUUGAUCUGAUUUGAGUUAUUUUUGUUCCUAUAUUAUGCUUCUUGUAAGAUGAUUUGGUUGUUCAAAUCUUUGUAGCUAUCCUAACUUGUAUAAUCAGUUUUUGAAAUGCUUCAGGAUCUUUAAUUACUGCCCGUUUGGGUUGAGUAUGCAUUCUACUGUGUCAGCGUUUGGACUUGUUCUUGAAAGUAAAAAUGAGCUCCUUCUGUUCUUUGAAAUUUUUUAGGUUGUCGAGAAUAUUGCAAGAAAAUUUGGUGUUAGUAAAAGUGUUCUUCUUGAUAGAGAAGCUGAUGAUCUUGCCGUACGUAUAGCAUUGGGUGAGACUCAAGUGAUAGCAGAGACGAAAAAGGCUCUUGCAAAAGCUGGGGUUAAUAUUGCUUCACUGGAAGACUACGCUGCUGGAAAAACUGAUGGAGUGAAACGAAGCAAUCACGUUAUUCUAGUUAAGAACUUGCCCUAUGGUUCGUCAGAAGGUGAACUUGCGAAUAUGUUUGGGAAGUUCGGGAGUCUGGAUAAGAUUAUUCUUCCUCCCACCCAAACCUUAGCUUUGGUUUGUGCUUUUAUCUUUGAAGCCUUUGGUUUGAAAUGACUAUUCUUGUAACUAUAAUUGUUCUUUAUGUGCUUUGUGACUUUUCCGUACAAUAGGGUGUUCUGAUUUGAUACUAAUAGACCAAGUUUCUGUUUGUGUAAAUAGACAUGAAUUAGUUGGAAAUAACAAGAUUGUUUGCUGCUUCUGUGAUUAUUACAAUCAGGUUGUCUUCCUAGAACCGGCAGAAGCACGCACAGCUUUUCGGGGCCUAGCAUACAAACGUUACAAGUAAGUGUAUAUAUCCGUUUCUUGCUUUUGAUACAGCGGUGAUUUUUGUAGUUGAACAAGUAGCUGUAUAUGUAAAGACAAUUUCAUGUCAUGACUGAUAACUAAGCAAGAUUGGAAUAGCUUUAGAAUUGGGAUAACACAUAAAUACUCUCCUCAACUUAUUGUGAAUAUUCAUCUAUACUUUUUAACUUUGCUAGUGCCCUAUUACACCCAACCCCCAAGGGGCCUUUUUGAAGUUGAGUAACUACCAGAUUUGUGUUGGGUGUUGAAAUAACACCACUUACUCCAUAUACUUUGAAGUUGAGUAACUUUGCUAGUGCACUCACCACUUAAUUUUUGUUCACCUUUUUUUUCCAUAUACUUUGGUUAUUUCUUCCUCCACCUUUGUUCAAAUGCAUUAAGCGGACUCUCCCCCAAUCUAAACUUUGCGCCUUCCUCUCACUCCUACUCCAAUAAUUCCUUGUCAAUGAUUAGUGAUGUCGCCCUGUAUUCUCGAAACAAGGUGCAUUUUAUGUUACCUCGGAUCCUGUUAGUGAGAGAAGACUCAAAAUUAGAGGGAAGCCAUGGAAAGAGAAGGGAAUUCCAUUUUUUUUUACUUUGCUUUAGAGAAUUGAGAAACCUUCCAAUUUUUUAUUUUGCAAGAUUGAGGUUUCUCCUAGCUUGCUUUGUUCUUUCUAGCACAUAUCAGUUUUGCUGCAUCUCAUAUGCAAUAUAUUUUGAUUCAGUCUUGAAAGUUUGGAAUUAUGAAGUAAAUUUUGUCCCUUUGUCCUGAUGCAGAGACACUCCCCUUUAUUUGGAGUGGGCUCCUGGGAAUAUUCUUGAUCAAACGAGUGAUUCCAAAAAUGAUUUUAUUGUUGGUGAAGAUGAUGUAAAGAGAGUGCUCCUGGAGCAACAAGUGGAAGGAAUAGCAGAUCCAGAUGUUGAUCCUGAUAGAGUGGAGGUAUAUAAACUGUAAAACCCAUGUUUCCCAUCUUUAUAUAGAAUGUACUUUGGUGCUAAGUCCCUACUGUUGUAUGAGUCUACUUGCGAGCUGUUUAUAUCUACCUGUAUUGUAUAGACUAAUACCUAGCUAAGUUUGUCCUCGUCAAUCUUUGCUUGUGGAUUAUUUUUCUGUUCAUCUCCAUUUGCCAGCAACCGCAAAUGAAGCUUUGUUGAGGUUGGCACUUCCAUUUGAUCAAUAGUCUAUUAUUAUAUGCACUUCUGUCGCCCUGACAUGUGUCCCACCAUAUGACACAAAGUUUCACUUUAUGAAUGCCAUUUUAGGAGUCUGUCAUGUUGGUACAUUUACUUUAGGUUCAAUGUUUGUUAGGUACAUUUACUUUAGGUUCAAUGUUUGUUAGGAGUCUUUUAGUUUCGAUACAGAUGCUAGUAGAAAAUGUAAAGAAUCUCUAGUGCUAGAGAAACCAGAUCAAAAUCGUAGAGAGACGAGCUUGAGUGGAGUGGCAUCUAGCAUGUGUUGAGGACUCAUACAACUGACCCAACUAGCAUGAGGUUGAGGCGUACUUUUUGUUUUUGUCGAACACAAAAAUGUGGAAGAUAUUACAAAUUUAAGUGGUUUUGUUUUUGUUGAACACAAAAUGUGGAAGAUAUUACACAAAAUGAGGAGUGGCAUCUAGCAUGUGUUGAGGACUCAUACAACUGACCCAACUAGCAUGAGAUUGAGGCGUACUUUUUGUUUUUGUCGAACACAAAAAUGUGGAAGAUAUUACAAAUUUAAGUGGUUUUGCUUUUAUUGAACACAGAAUGUGGAAGAUAUUACAAAUUCUUAAACGAACUCUUACAUUUGAUUGAUACUGGUAACGUACUGGUAUAUAUAAAGUCACAUUUUCAGAGAAAUGAAGAAACCCGGCUAUGCAAAAAUCAAAUUUACAGACAGCCUAUCAAAUCGAUUAGAGAAUCUGUUUCCUCUAGUAGUAUGUAAGACUUUUUUGAGAAUUUCUACUAGUAUGUAAGACUCAAACUUAAGUCUACAUAUUUAUUCAAGUUUUUAGUUUGCUGGAAAUUAACUGUGGCCUGCAUAUGAUAGGUCCCCAGAAAAUCAGAAAUAAAUAAUUCUCAAAUAUGAACUGUACUCUUGUUGUUGUUGUUGUUGUUGUUGAACUGUACUCUUGGUAGCAGCAGACUAUUGAAUACACAUGGUCACAUGACAUGCUGGUUCAGCUGCUCCACUAUUGCCAAAAAAUCAUGCUACCUGUACCAAAAACCAAAAGAAUUCAGUUAUUGGAAAUAAGUAUAUAGUGAAGAACAUUGCAGUUAUAGAAAUUCCUUGUUACUUCUUUGUUUGUUCUUAUAACUGCCUUGAUUUCUCAGGUUUGUUUCUUGUUUCAUUAACCAAUUGAUAUUCUUGUUGUCACCUUUCCAGUCACGAUCACUGUAUGUCAAGAACCUAAAUUUCAAGACAUCAGAUGAGAGUUUAAAGAAACAUUUCACUGAUCACAUAAAGGAUGGGCGAAUAUUAAGUGUGAGGGUAAGUUCUUGUGGCUCUUUUUUAUGCUGAGACGCCAAGUAUUUAGCAUAGUAUUUCCUUUGUGCUACAUGAAAAAAUAACUAGUCUUCCUCCAACACCUGUUAAUAUUAUUCUGUGAAGGUGAAAAAGCAUGUAAAGAAUGGAAAAACUGUCUCGAUGGGUUUUGGAUUCAUUGAGUUUGAUUCUGCUGAUACAGCAAUCAAUGUUUGUAAGGAUUUGCAGGUAAUCAGUCUGAUUUUUGUUUUAACAUUUUGUCCAUACAUUCGGGCUCCUACAAAUAGCGUUUCAUCUUCCCCUCUUCUUGUCAUUCAGGGAACUGUUUUGGAUGGGCAUGCACUUAUAAUGCAACUUUGCCACACUAAGAAGGAUGAUCAACUACCAAAGAAAGCUGAGAAUGAUAAGAGUUCGACUAAGUUGCUUGUUAGGAAUGUUGCUUUUGAGGCAACUGAAAAGGAUCUCAGGCAACUAUUCAGUCCAUUUGGGCAGGUACUUCCUCUGAAGUGUUGUUAAUGUAGGGUGAUACUAAGUAGUAGAAAAUAAUACUAGGUUUUCCUGUGUUGGGAAGUGGCAAAGCUAGAAGUUAAUUGAGGAUAAGUAUGUCUGUGGGCACGAGGAUGCAUUAUAUCCUGUGCAUUUCCAUUGAGUCCAUAUGAGAGACAUUUAUCCAUAUGUAAGUGGGCAUGUAGAAUUCUCUCCGAUUUGUAAUGCUUUUGUUCAAAAUUCCAGGUCUAGUGGAAUGUGUCAUGAAAUUUAUUAGUGUGAAAAAUGUUGAUAUAGACAAAAUGAUGCGUGGUAAUUGGCAGAUGAUCUAGCCACUAGAAGCUAGGGCUAGAAAAAAAAAAAAACAUUAUGAUGGUUACUUGAAAGUCUGACAUAUAUGUUAUUUUUGACCUGCAUUCAUCAUGUUUCACAUAGCGACUUAUUUCAAUGUCCUUUCCGUUGACCUCAAAAUUAAAUUCAUCCUACAGAUUAAGAGUUUAAGGCUGCCAAUGAGGUUUGGGAACCAUAGAGGAUUUGCAUUUGUAGAGUUCGUCACUAAACAAGAGGCAAAGAAUGCCAUGGAAGCUCUAUCCAAUUCUCACUUGUAUGGGCGCCAUUUGGUAUGUGAUCUUGCAAUUCUCAUAGUAUAUAUCUACUACCUAAAUAUCACCAAGUAAUAUGUUGUGGUGCAUGUUACAUCUCAGGUUCUUGAGAGAGCCAAGGAAGGUGAGAGCUUAGAGGAAUUACGCGCUCGCACAGCUGCUCAGUUUAGUACUGAGCAAAAUGGGUUUCAAACUACUAAAUUAUCAAAGAAGAGAAAACAAAUGGCUAUAUUGGAUGAAGGGAGUUUUAAAUUCGAGCGAAUUGCUGAUUAAAUACUUCACAACUCCCUUCAAAUCCCCAAUUCACUUGUCCUGUAUAGGUUAAAGCUACUAAUUCUGCAGUAUUUAUAGCCCAAUAGUACUAAGAUGAGAGCUUGUUUAAUCAAUUUUGUUCAUUAAUGUAAUGUCUUGACAUCCUCUUCGGUUUGUAUUGUAGAUCAUGAAAAGUUUGCUGUCAGUUUGUGACAAAAAAAUAUCAAAGUAGUAGGUAAACAAAGUUUGAUCCUUUGGGAUGUUUCUUAUGGAUUACUUUAAUAAUGAAGAUAGCAUUCUUGUCACAGGGGGGUAAUGUAGAAAUGCUAUUUCUUAUCCACCAUAACCAAAAGAAAAAACUUAAAUCAUCUCGAGUUUAGAAGGUGAAUUUCUUGGUUAGAAAAAGAAGGGCAACAAAGGGUCGAUUUAAAAGGAAAAAAAAAAAACAGAGUGGCCAGUGUGAAAACAUGGACAAUUUUUUAAUUUGAGUCAAAAAAAUUUCCUGCAUUAUUAGAAUGACAAAGAAAAUAAGAAAAAAAAGUGGAAGGAAAUGAAGGAGGACGGCAAACAGGCGUUGACGUCCUAGUUUUAAAUACUUACAUAAAUUUUAAGUGAUAUAUCUCAAAGAAUGUGAUGUAUUCUUGUUGAAUUUUUUAGAAUUUUAAAAGACGUUGGAAUAGGAAGUAAUUAACAUCAAAAGAAUUGAGAUUUGCGUAACUUUUACAUUAUUUAUUCUGCUCUAGAAAAGUGCAAGGAAAUGAAGGAAAAUUUAGCGUCUUUAGAAAAUUCUCCAUCUUUAGCAAAAUAAGAACAAAAAUUUGCGUACAUUUUAUCUUUUCUAAAUUUCAUCUAUACGUGUUGACAGUUUGAUAACAUUUUCUUUUCUUGUUAAAAUAGUUCCUUCUUUUGGUCGUGACAUGCGCAAUUGGAAAAGAAAAAAGAAUCAAGUAAAUUGGUAAUAACGACAUUGCAGAAAUUUACCUCAAAAAAAAAAAAAAUUAUUGUCCCCUUUAAACUAUAUAUCAUCGAUCACUAUCAUUAUUCAUCAUUAUAUAAUCACCAAUCAGCACUAUAUAUUAUAAACUAUCGUCAUCAUUCACCAUCACUAUAAGCUAUUACUAUCAUCCACCACAACUAUCAGUCAUUGUGACAAGGAGUAACCAUCAAUCACUACUCUCACAACUAUCAUCACCAAUAGCUACACCCUUAACACCACUAUUUGCCAAUAUAUCUUCAAUCGACACCCACAAUCACUAUCGCUAGCCAUCACUAUCAUCAACAGUCAUAUAAUGUUUAUAGUAAAUUAAUUUAAUUUUUUUUAUUAAAUUUUACUUUAUAAUAGAAGCGGCAAUCUUGACCAUUUUAGAGUCGUCCUGGCUGCUUCAGCUGCUUCAAGCGUAAUUUUACUAUAUCACCCCUAAUUAAUUAUUAUAAAUUAUUUCAUUUAAGUAUUAUAAUAUUAAUAAUAUUUAAUAAAAGAAUAGUUUUCAAAAUGACUACUAAAUUCCUCAAAGUUCCAUUUAUUAUUAUUCGAGAAUUUUUUUUAGCUGUUUCAAUCGUAAUUUUAAUGUAUCACCUCUAAUUAAUUAUUAUAAGCCAUUUACGUAUUAAAAAUUAAUAAUAUUUAAUAUAAAAAUAAAACAAACAUUUUUUACAUGUCUGCUUCAGUUGGUUCGACAUAAUUUUACUAUAUCACCUCUAAUUACUCAUUAUGAGUCAUCUAAGUAUUAAAAAAUAAUGUUAAAAAAUUAUUAUAAAAUCAUCUAAGUUUUAAAAAACUAAUAAUAUAAAAAAAUAUUAAUCUGCCAAAUAUUUUUCAAAAAUAGGUAAGAAAUACUAUACAUCACAAUAAUUAGCAACUAGAAAGUUUAGAGUCAAUUUACUUUCUUUGGCACAUCUUCAUUGGUCCUUUCCUUUGCCUUCAUUUUUUCAUCUAUUUUAAUUUGUUAUAUAUUUUUUAAAAAAAAACUUGUAAAUCACAAUAAUUAAUAAAUUAAAAAUUAAAAACAUAUAAAUAUUUGACUGACUUUCAAAAUUAUAUCAUUGCUACUUAAAUUGGAAUAGAAGAAAAAAUACUAUAGAUCACAGUAAUUAAAAACUUAAAUUAUUUAUAAAAUAUAAUUGACUAUCAAUAGUACAAAAUUUUAAACAAGGAGUGUAACAUAUAUUAUUUAAAAUUUACAUAAAACUUAUUAUAAAUUACAAUAUUUAACAAAUUAAAAUAUCUAAAAAAAAUUAUUAUAUAUUUUAAAAAAUACAUAAAAGUGCUAUAGAUCAUAAUAAUUAACAAAUUUAAGACAUAUAAAAUAUUUGAUUGACUUUUGUUCAAUUAUAAAAAAAUAAGCACUUUGAUGAAGAUUUAUAGUAUCAUUCAAGUAAAUACAGAUUAAGAUCGUAGAAACAUGAGCUAGUGAUAUAGCUACACCUAAUUCCAGACCGGUUAAUGCAAGAACUAUAAAUAAAGGACCAAGAUCCCCUAUGAAAUAUAAUUGAAUAUCAACGCCACAAAAGUUAGGACAAGGAGAGUAACAUGUAUUUUUUGAAAAUCAUAUAAAAAACAUUACAAAUUACAAUUGUUGACAAUUUAAAGUAUUUUUUUAAUUUUUUUUUAUAUAUUUUUAAAAAAUACUCAAAAAGAUACUACAAAUCAUAAUAAUUAAUAAUUUUAAAAAUUGUAAGGAUAUAAAUAUUUGGUUGACUAUAGAAAUUAUAUCAGUGCUACUUAAUUUGAAAUUAAAAAAGAUUAUAAAUCUCAAUAAUUUUAAAAGUUAAAUUAUUUUUAAAGUAUAAUUGGCUAUCGAUGCUACAAAAGUUUGAAUAAGGAGAGUAACAUGUAUUAUUUAAAAAUUACAUAAAAAAAUAUUAUAAAUUACGAUAAUUAACAAUUUAGAAUAUUCAAAGCAUACUAAAGAUAUGAUUGAUUAUCUAUAUUUUAUUUAUGUCACAUAAAUUGAGACUAAAAAAUAAUAUAUAUUGGGCCCGUGCCAACCUAUUUAAAUAAAUUUAUAUAUUCAAAUAUUGAAAAAUAAAUAACUUUAAUUAUUUAAUAUUCAUAUCUUAAUUACUUAGUAUUCUGGUAAAAUAUGUGUUACCACCAAACAAAUCUCAUCAUUUUGUGACUUAAUCUAUAAUAUAUUAAAAGUGUGAAGCCCGUUAAAAAGUGAUUUGAAUUUUUUAUCCUUCAUUAAAACACUAUACAAUAGACAAAAUCAUCUUUUCACUAUUUUCCUUAAUUUAUUAUUUAAUUAAAUUUUUAUUUUUUAAAGUCAAGAAAUCCUAAAUUAUACGGUAAAAGAAAAAUAUAUAGAGAAUUAAUAUUGGUAAAUUUUUUAUUUCCUUCUAUAUGUAAAAAAAGAGUCUUGAAAUAUUUGGUAGAAAAAAGAUCCUAAAAUAUAUAAUAAAGAGAAUAAGAAAAGAUUUAAUAGUAGAAAACUUUAAGUAAAAAAGAAAAAUAAAAUCUCACCUAAAGUUUUAGAAAAACCAUUAUACGUUUUCUUUUAAUGUUAUGAUUUUAAUUCCUUUAAGUAAAAAGGAAAAAUAAAAUGUCAACUAAAGUUUUAAAAAAACUAUUGUACGUUUUCUUUUAACGUUAUUAUUUUAAUUUCAAACUAUAUAUAUAUAUAUAUAUAUUUCUUUUCUAUAUAAUAGAAACACUAAUUUUGACCAAUGCUUCAUCAAUUGCUAUACUACCCCAAAUUAUUUCAGAAUUUACUAUAUUACUCCUAAUUAAUUAUUAUAAUUCAUUUAAAUAUUAGAAUUAAUAAUAUUUUUUUAUUAUAUUAUCCCUAAUUAAUUAUUGUAAGUCAUUUAUAUAUUAUAAUUAAUGAUAUUUAAUUAAAAAAUAGACAUUUAUGACUUUUGUUUCAGCUGCUUUAACUGUGAUUUUACUUUAUCAUCCCCAAUUAAUUAUUAUAAGUCAUUUAUGUAUUAAAAAAUUAAUAAUAUUUAAUUAAAAAAUUAGAUGACAUGUCUACCUAUAUUACCUCUAAUUGCCCCGUAAUUUAUUAUAUUACCCCUAAUUAAUUAUUAUAAGAAAUUUAUAUAUUAGAAUUAAUUAAUUAUUAUAAGUCAUUGAUAUAUUAAAAUUAAUAAUAUUUAAUUAAAAAAAUAUUUAUAACGUUUGUUUCAGCUCCUUUAAUCGUGAUUUUACUAUAUCAUUCUUAAUUAAUUAUUAUAUGUCAUUUAUGUAUUUAAAAAUUAAUAAUAUUUAAUUAAAAAAUAGAAGUUUAUGAUGUUUGUUUCAACAUCUUUAACCGUAAUUUUACUGUAUCAUCCCUAAUUAAUUAUUAUAAGUCAUUGAUAUAUUAAAAUUAAUAAUAUUUAAUUAAAAAAUAGAAGUUUAUGAUGUUUGUUUCAACAUCUUUAACCGUAAUUUUACUGUAUCAUCCCUAAUUAAUUAUUAUAAGUCAUUGAUAUAUUAAAAUUAAUAAUAUUUAAUUAAAAAAUAGAAGUUUAUGAUGUUUGUUUCAACAUCUUUAACCGUAAUUUUACUGUAUCAUCCCUAAUUAAUUAUUAUAAGUCAUUGAUAUAUUAAAAUUAAUAAUAUUUAAUUAAAAAAUAGAAGUUUAUGAUGUUUGUUUCAACAUCUUUAACCGUAAUUUUACUGUAUCAUCCCUAAUUAAUUAUUAUAAGUCAUUGAUAUAUUAAAAUUAAUAAUAUUUAAUUAAAAAAUAGAAGUUUAUGAUGUUUGUUUCAACAUCUUUAACCGUAAUUUUACUGUAUCAUCCCUAAUUAAUUAUUAUAAGUCAUUGAUAUAUUAAAAUUAAUAAUAUUUAAUUAAAAAAUAGAAGUUUAUGAUGUUUGUUUCAACAUCUUUAACCGUAAUUUUACUGUAUCAUCCCUAAUUAAUUAUUAUAAGUCAUUGAUAUAUUAAAAUUAAUAAUAUUUAAUUAAAAAAUAGAAGUUUAUGAUGUUUGUUUCAACAUCUUUAACCGUAAUUUUACUGUAUCAUCCCUAAUUAAUUAUUAUAAGUCAUUGAUAUAUUAAAAUUAAUAAUAUUUAAUUAAAAAAUAGAAGUUUAUGAUGUUUGUUUCAACAUCUUUAACCGUAAUUUUACUGUAUCAUCCCUAAUUAAUUAUUAUAAGUCAUUGAUAUAUUAAAAUUAAUAAUAUUUAAUUAAAAAAUAGAAGUUUAUGAUGUUUGUUUCAACAUCUUUAACCGUAAUUUUACUGUAUCAUCCCUAAUUAAUUAUUAUAAGUCAUUGAUAUAUUAAAAUUAAUAAUAUUUAAUUAAAAAAUAGAAGUUUAUGAUGUUUGUUUCAACAUCUUUAACCGUAAUUUUACUGUAUCAUCCCUAAUUAAUUAUUAUAAGUCAUUUAUAUAUUAGAAUUAAUAAUAUUUAAUUAAAAAAUAGAAGUUUAUGAUGUUUGUUUCAACAUCUUUAACCGUAAUUUUACUGUAUCAUCCCUAAUUAAUUAUUAUAAGUUAUUUAUAUAUUAAAAAUUAAUAAUAUUUAAUUAAAAAAAUCAGCUGCUUUGUCAUUUACUAUAUUAACCUAAUUGCUCGGUGAUUUAUUAUAUUACCCCUAAUUAAUUACUAUAAGUCAUUUAUUUAUUAGAAAUUAAUAAUGUUUUUUUUAUUAUAUUACCCCUAAUUAAUUAUUAUAAGUCAUUUAUAUAUUAUAUUUAAUAAUAUUUAAUUAAAAAAUAUAUAUUUAUGACAUUUAUUUCAGCUGCUUUAACCAUGAUUUCACUAUAUCAUCCCUAAUUAAUUAUUCUAAGUUAUUUAUGUAUUAAAAAAUUAAUAAUAUUUAAUUAAAAAAUAGAUGAAAUGUCUGCCUAUAUUAUCCCUAAUUGCUCCGUGAUUUACUAUAUUACCCUAAAUUAAUUAUUAUAAGUCAUUUAAAGUUAUUUAUGUAUUAAAAAAUUAAUAAUAUUUAAUUAAAAAAAUAUAUGACAUGUCUGCCUAUAUUAUCCCUAAUUGCUACGUGAUUUACUAUAUUACCCUAAAAUAAUUAUUAUAAGUCAUUUAUAUAUUAGAAUUAAUAAUAUUUAAUUAAAAAUUGAUAUUUAUGACGUUUGUUUCAGCUGCUUUAACCGUGAUUUUACUAUAUCAUCCCUAACUAAUCAUUAUAAGUCAUUUAUGUAUUAAAAAAUUAAUAAUAUUUAAUUAAAAAAAUAGAUGACAUGUCUGCUGCAGCUGCUUCAACCAUAAUUUUGCUAAAUAUCGCUUAUAAUUAAUUAUUAUGAGUCAUCUAAGUGUAAAAAAUUUAAUCAUAUUUUUUUAAAAAAAAUAGACACAAAAUGAUAAAUUAACUCUUGAUGUAUUAAAUUAAGUUGACCUCCUUCAACCGUGAUUUUACUGUAUCACCCAUAAUUAAUUAUUAUUAGUCAUUUAUGUAUUAAAAUAUUCAUAUUAUUUAAUUAAAACAUUGGUUUCGACAUGGCUGCUUCAAGAGCUGCGCCGUAAUUUUACUAUAUCACCCCUAAUUAAUUAUUAUAAGUCAUUUAUGUAUUAGAAAAUUAAUAGUAUUUAAUUAAAACAAGAAAAAUAUGUGUUUAUGACAUGUUUGUUGCAGCUGUUUCAACCAUAAUUAUCUUUGAGAAGAUGAUCCAAGACUUUGUGUUAAUUGAAGUAUCUUUUGUUCCAGUUUUUAUAUGAAAUAAUCUUAUGAAUAUUAGUUCUACAUCUUUUCUAUAUUUUGUAGCAGGUCUCAAUUUUAUCAUCAAACAAUUAAAAUAACCCGACUACACGACACAUUACACCUUUUUAUCAUGUGGAAAAAAACUAUCUUAUAAAACUUCACUCCUUAGCGAGUACCAUCAAAUAGUUAUUAUUUAAAAAAUUAUCGUUUUAAAUCAAUGUACAUUUAUGUUUGUAUCUCAUCAAUAUUGAAUAUUGGUGCUAAAAGAUGUCUAUAGUGUUGGAUCCGUGCUGACACGGGCCAUGCACCUCUUGUAUAUAUAUAUAUAUAUUAUAUUAUAAUCUAUUUAAAGUGUGAAGGGCGUUAGAAAUGUCGCUUGAACUUUUUACCCUUCAUUAAAAGUCUUUUCUUUAGAUAAAAAUCAUAUUUUGACUAUUUUUUUUAAUUAUUUAAUAGUUAAAAAUCAAUUAAAUAUAUUUAUGAUAAACCUUUAAAACUUUUUAAGAAGAUUUAAAAAGUCUAUAAAUUUACAUCUACAAUAUAUUAAAUCCAUUAACCAUUUGAAAUUUGUGAUGAUAAAAUAUACAUGUGCUUAUAAUAAAAUAUAUAUUUUAAACUUUUUACAAUUCAUUAAAAAAAUUAUCUAAUUUUAAAUAAUCAAAAGUUAAUUGCACGUGCAGCUAAACUAGUAAUUAUACAAAUUUCCAUUGACAAAGUGAGGAGUAUAUUCUUUCAAAUCCUCUAACCAAUUUACAGCGGAGUUGGUAGUCCAAAAUAUUUCAAGAAAACUUGUUUCUCUUGUCUUGUUUCCUUUUAAACCCUUUUGUCCACUCUUUACAUUUCUACUACUCAAUUCAUUUGUUCACCAUAUAUUACCUGCCUUGUCUCCAUCUUUUCUCAACUGGGUAUGCCUUCAAAUUUCACCUAAUUCUGUGCUUUCUUUAGGGUUUCUCAUUGUUUUCAUUAAAUUCAAUCAUUCUUUUCUUUGUGGAUUUACUUUUUUAAGUGUGUUCUUUAUAUGAGAUCCCAAUUCACUUUGUGGGGUUUUUAGUAUUUGAUAAUUUUACUUUACUGUAAGUGAUAUUAUUAUACUUUGUUGCUUUGUUAGAAUUACUAGCAUCAUCUGUUUUCUUUGUGGGUUUUCUUUAAUUCUGCUUAUUGUGUACUCAUUUGGAUCUUCCUUGUUACUGUUUUUUUUGGUGGAACUUAGUGUUUGGAAUUUAGAUUUGUUGUGCCCUUAAAUAAGUGGUGUUUUUAGUUUGAACACACCCUUAACCAAACUACUCAUUCCUAGAAAACAAAGAUUGUUUUUACUAACUUAUCCUUGAUAAAUACUUUGGAAAAGAUAGUACUCUUUAGUAGUUUCUUGCUUAUUUAAAACUCUUUUUAUUUAAAAGAAGUUAAAAAUGAAGGAACAACAUGAAUGUCUUCUUGAUUAUCUAAAGUACUACUUAUUUGGGAAUAAAAUCAAAAGGCUGAAAACCACUUAAUUUAGGAAUGGAGGGAGUAGGCGGACAUUGAUUAUAAAAGUUGGCGUGAAUUUCCAGGUUCAGUUUGUGAUUCUGUUAGUUUUUAGUGCUUUCUUGAUUUACUUUUGCGUUUGUUCUGAAUCUUGAUAGAGGCAAUGUCGCAAGGCUAUGCUAUUGAGCUCUACUUUGAUCCUGCACUGGAAAACCAGGUCCUGAAGGCCUGGAAUGUAUUGGCUCGGCGCCAGAUUAGCACUCAGCUUAUUGAGAUUGAGUCUAGACCUCACAUUACCCUCUUCUCGAGUCCCAAUUUUGAUCCAUCAAAGCUUGAGAACAUUGUAAAGAAUUUUUCGUCCAAGCAAGAAUCUUUGCCUCUGUCCUUUGGUUCAAUUGGAAGCCUCCCAAGUGAUGACAAUGUUCUAUUUCUUGCCCCAACACCAACUUUGUCUCUACUUCAGUUCCACUCACAGCUGUUUGAUGCUAUGAAAAAGGAGGGCAUUGAGAUUGCAGAUGAGCAUCGUCCUGAUACGUGGAUUCCUUAUUGCCCGGUAGCUGAAGAGGUGCCUAAAACUCGUAUGGGGGAGGCAUUCACUGUUUUGAGGGAUCUGAAAUUACCUGUUGCUGGAUAUGCAAUGGAAAUUGCACUUGUCGAGUAUCCUCCAGUUCGUGAAGCAUUUUCUUUUGUGCUUGGUAAUACAGUUGAACCUUGAGGUUUCAGACAUGUAAUUGUGUUGAUUUUAGUUUAGGCUUUUACCUUUCAUAUCCUAUAUAGUUGCUCUUGUAGAACCUGAUAUAGAUGGUUAAGAGUGUUAUUAUCGUUGCUAAAUGGUCAUCUGCUUUGAUGAAAUAUUAAGUCAUUUCUGAUUCUUUCCUAUUGUUCGUACUUGCAUUGAGAUGUUGAUCUCUUAUGUCAGUGUUGGUGAUAAUAACAUGCUUAUUUUUUUUUCUUAUCUAUGGGAAGUCUCUGGUCGACCUCUAUUAGCAUAGAAAUUUUAUUUGCUUCUGUGUUCUAUCUUAUAAAUCAUGAACAUUGUUUGGCUUACGUGUUCUACUUUGUAAGUCUUGAAUGUGGUUCCUUUCAUUCAAAUGUAAUAUGUUUUAGUUCUUGUUAAGUUUAGCAAGUUCGAAUCAUGUGAGGUAAAUUUGCUUUUGUUAAAUAAUGUUGAGUAUAAAACUUGCUUGCGUUUAAAAAUGUUCACUUAUACAUUACUGCAGUACACCUUCUAAUUUGCAAGUCUCAAAGAUCAUGUGCUUUCUUUAGAUUGUAAUAUAUCCUGGUGCUUGUUGAAUUUAAUAUGAUUGAAUCAUGUGAGGGGAGUACAGAAGCUACCAGUUUUGUAUGGUUGGUAAAUCAAAUAGUAUUUGGAGAAAACAUGAGGCAGAGUUGAUUGAUGUACUAGCUGAAUAAACUGGAUAAAAGACAAGAACAGUCCAUUAUGUUUGACGUUGGUUUUGACUAACCCUUUUUUUUUUUUUUUUUUUUUUUUUUUUUUUUUUUUUUUUUUUUUUUUUUUUUUUUUUUUUUUUUUUUUUUUUUUUUUUUUUUUUUUUUUUUUUUUUUUUUUUUUUUUUUUUUUUUUUUUUUUUUUUUUUUUUUUUUUUUUUUUUUUUUUUUUUUUUUUUUUUUUUUUUUUUUUUUUUUUUUUUUUUUUUUUUUUUAAAAUCAUGG
Molecule: long non-coding RNA, 18516 nt
Filed under: Capsicum annuum
Lineage: Eukaryota; Viridiplantae; Streptophyta; Magnoliopsida; Solanales; Solanaceae
Description: long non-coding RNA (CANN_LNC003584)
Source: RNAcentral